This 497-nucleotide ribosomal RNA is filed under the name uncultured bacterium. RNAcentral's name for it is "partial 16S ribosomal RNA". It matches the Rfam family "Bacterial small subunit ribosomal RNA", at positions 28 to 507 of the family's 1533-position model. The record is from RNAcentral.
GAUGAACGCUGGCGGCGUGCCUAAUACAUGCAAGUCGAGCGAACAGACGAGGAGCUUGCUCCUCUGAUGUUAGCGGCGGACGGGUGAGUAACACGUGGAUAACCUACCUAUAAGACUGGGAUAACUUCGGGAAACCGGAGCUAAUACCGGAUAACAUGUUGAACCGCAUGGUUCAACAGUGAAAGACGGUCUUGCUGUCACUUAUAGAUGGAUCCGCGCCGCAUUAGCUAGUUGGUAAGGUAACGGCUUACCAAGGCAACGAUGCGUAGCCGACCUGAGAGGGUGAUCGGCCACACUGGAAGUGAGACACGGUCCAGACGCCUACGGGAGGCAGCAGUCGGGAAUCUUCCGCAAUGGGCGAAAGCCUGACGGAGCAAGGCCGCGUGAGUGAAGAAGGUCUUCGGAUCGUAAAACUCUGUUAUUAGGGAAGAACAAAUGUGUAAGUAACUAUGCACGUCUUGACGGUACCUAAUCAGAAAGCCACGGCUAACUACGUG